RNAcentral lists this transfer RNA (76 nucleotides) under Sphenostylis stenocarpa. RNAcentral describes it as "tRNA gene-AYBTSS11_LOCUS25078". It matches the Rfam family "tRNA". Rfam says of the family: Transfer RNA (tRNA) molecules are approximately 80 nucleotides in length. Their secondary structure includes four short double-helical elements and three loops (D, anti-codon, and T loops). The record is from RNAcentral. Lineage: Eukaryota; Viridiplantae; Streptophyta; Magnoliopsida; Fabales; Fabaceae.
GUCAGGAUGGCCGAGUGGUCUAAGGCGCCAGACUCAAGUUCUGUCGAGGGCGUGGGUUCAAAUCCCACUUCUGACA